UAUGCACUCUACUGUAAGUCGCUCUGGAUAAGAGCGUCUGCUAAAUGACUCAAA
Molecule: non-coding RNA, 54 nt
Organism: Salmo salar (Atlantic salmon)
Lineage: Eukaryota; Metazoa; Chordata; Actinopteri; Salmoniformes; Salmonidae
Source: Rfam